UGACUGAAGGGGGUCAGGCUGGGCAGCUGGGAAGCCAGCCCCACAGACACUUACACCCACCUCAUCCCCGCACACAGGGCUCAUGCUCAUGAAGCCACACGGAGCACCCACGGCCACUCCGGGGCAUUGUGCACCAGGUAAAGGGGAGGCGGCGGCGGCUUUGAGGCCCUUUACACUCUGGAGGCUAGUUGGGGAGACCACACAGAAGACACAAUACAAGAACCAAACGGAGAACUUCACCAGUUCAUGCAUCCGACACAUAAUUGCCCCAGUACUGCCUCCAGUUCAGGGCCUGCGCCAGAUGCUGGGAAUGCAAAGGCGCAAUGUCACAGGAAGGCCUCCGUACCCUGCCGCCCGUGAGGAGUCAGCCCAAGUUGCUGUUACAGAGGAGCCAUGCUUCAGGUGCGCCGCCCUCUCCACACCCAAGCACAGAAGAUCCCAGGGCUUUCUUUGCCCAGGAUCUCGGGGAAGCUGUGAAGACGCCUAUCCUCCCUGGUAAGAGAUCAGAAGAGAUUUCGCUCUAGGAUUCCUGUGUGAGUGGCGGCAGCUGAAGUCCUGAGCCAGCUGCCCUGUCGCGAAGAAAUGCUAGGAGGACCAGGAACCUGGGGUGAGUCCAGAGGCGCUCGUGGCUGGGAGAGUGGGGCGAGCAAACAGGAAAACAAGUACCCCGGGCAGAGCUCUGAGAAGAGGCCGUGGAGCAAGGAGCUCAUGGGCGGUGGGGGCGCAGAGAGGCUGCCACAAGGGCCUCAUUAAUAGGGUCACAGCAACAGGUCGAAAGAUGAGCUCUGAGCCAGCCCUGGGGUCCAGCCAGGAGAAGAUGAGGUCAGGAAGUAAAGUGAGUGAUGAAGCGAAGCGUCGGUGGUCGAGAGGUGUGACACGAGCUGCAAUGGCUUUAGAUAAUUCCUUUGAAAAGGUGACAGGCUGAAGGGUGGUGGGGACCUUAAUGUGUUUCCUGACAGGUGAGUGAGGAUGUGUGAAGGCAGGAGGAGGCAUCCGUGGAGAGGGAGGAGGUGGAGAAGGGAAGGAACAGGACUCCCUGCCCAGGCAGAGGGCUAACACACACUCAGGCCGCCAGUAAGGAUCACAGGUAAGGGCAAGUGGUGCUCAGGCACCUUCUAUGAAUAUACACAGACUCUCUUUUGCUGUAGACAAUCCCCCUGAGCCCCACUCUCUCCUCCUCUCUAGUGGAGCGCUCAGAGGAAUCUGAUCUAAAGGAACCCAGGGCCCCAUCCCUUCCGUGUCCUCCUGCCAAUGGGAAGAAAUAGAAACCUGUCUUGCUCUACAGCUGCACUGCCCAAUAAGGUAGCCACUAGCCACACGGCUAUUUGAAUUUAAUUAUAAUAAAGUUGUUCUUCAGUCCCAUUAGCCACAUUUCAAAUGUUUAACAGCCUCCUGGGGCCAGUGGCCACGGAGCUCAGCACAGAGAACAUGCCAUCACUGCACAGGGACUAUCGACACCACGGAGCUCAGCACAGAGAACAUGCCAUCACUGCACAGGGACCAUCAACACCACGGAGCUCAGCACAGAGAACAUGCCAUCACUGCACAGGGACCAUCGACACCACGGAGCUCAGCACAGAGAACAUGCCAUCACUGCACAGGGACCAUCAACACCACGGAGCUCAGCACAGAGAACAUGCCAUCACUGCACAGGGAACAUCGACACCACGGAGCUCAGCACAGAGAACAUGCCAUCACUGCACAGGGACCAUCAACACCACGGAGCUCAGCACAGAGAACAUGCCAUCACUACACAGGGACCAUCGACACCACGGAGCUCAGCACAGAGAACAUGCCAUCACUACACAGGGACCAUCGACACCACGGAGCUCAGCACAGAGAACAUGCCAUCACUGCUCCAGAGUCUUCGAGACAUUUCCCCUCCCUUCUACUUUGUCCUAUUCAGCUCCCUGCGCGCCAGAAGAGUCCCUCUCCAGCCCUCACACGGAAUCACUGGAUCUUGGUGGAAAGACCUCAGUGGGGCUCCAGGGAAGAGCCUUCCUGACAGUCUAGGACAGUGAUGGUGAACCUUUUGAGCUCGGCGUGUCAGCAUUUUGAAAAACCCUAACUUAACUCUGGUGCCGUGUCACAUAUAGAAAUUUUUU
Molecule: long non-coding RNA, 2105 nt
Organism: Myotis myotis
Lineage: Eukaryota; Metazoa; Chordata; Mammalia; Chiroptera; Vespertilionidae
Exons: 3
Source: RefSeq, a predicted model, not a curated record